Molecule: ribosomal RNA, 166 nt
Filed under: Anthonotha crassifolia
Lineage: Eukaryota; Viridiplantae; Streptophyta; Magnoliopsida; Fabales; Fabaceae
Description: 5.8S ribosomal RNA
Rfam family: 5.8S ribosomal RNA
About the family: 5.8S ribosomal RNA (5.8S rRNA) is a component of the large subunit of the eukaryotic ribosome. It is transcribed by RNA polymerase I as part of the 45S precursor that also contains 18S and 28S rRNA.
Source: RNAcentral
AACGACUCUCGGCAACGGAUAUCUCGGCUCUCGCAUCGAUGAAGAACGUAGCGAAAUGCGAUACUUGGUGUGAAUUGCAGAAUCCCGUGAACCAUCGAGUCUUUGAACGCAAGUUGCGCCCAAAGCCAUUAGGCCGAGGGCACGUCUGGCUGGGUGUCACGCAACG